CCUACGGGUGGCUGCAGUGAGGAAUAUUGGUCAAUGGUCGGGAGACUGCACCAGCCAAGCCGCGUGAGGGAUGAAGGUACAGAGUAUCGUAAACCUCUUUUGUCAGGGAACAAAGGCGGGGACGUGUCCCCGGAUGAGUGUACCUGAAGAAAAAGCAUCGGCUAACUCCGUGCCAGCCGCCGCGGUAAUACGGGGGAUGCGCGCGUUAUCCGGAUUUAUUGGGGUUAAUGGGUACGCAGGCGGUCUGUUAAGUCAGUGGUCAAAGCCCGGGGCUCAACCCCGGUCCGCCGUUGAAACUGGCAGUCUCGAGUUGGAGAGAAGUAGGCGGAAGGCGCGGUGUAGCGGUGAAAUGCAUAGAUAUCGCGCAGAACUCCGAUUGCGAAGGCAGCAUGCCGGCUCCACACUGACGCUGAGGCACGAAAGUGUGGGUAUCGAACAGGAUUAGAUACCCUAGUAGUC
Molecule: ribosomal RNA, 459 nt
Filed under: uncultured bacterium
Lineage: Bacteria
Description: partial 16S ribosomal RNA
Rfam family: Bacterial small subunit ribosomal RNA
Source: RNAcentral